Cucumis sativus (cucumber) is the source of this 655-nucleotide long non-coding RNA. RefSeq lists it as uncharacterized. The record is from RefSeq and is a predicted model, not a curated record. The transcript has 8 exons. NCBI's taxonomy places the organism in Eukaryota, Viridiplantae, Streptophyta, Magnoliopsida, Cucurbitales, Cucurbitaceae.
CCAAAACACUUUCUCUACCUCCUUCUCUUCUUCUUCUUCUUCUCUUCUUCUUCUCUUCUUCUUCUUCUCUGUGGAAGAUCCACACGUCGCCCCUCUUCGAUUUUUCCUCCCUUCUGCUAACCAUCUCUCUCCCUCUCUCACGCACGCCGGAAAAGACUAGACUUUCGGUCAACAACGCGCGAAAUCCCUCUCUUUCUCUCCUUCAGCCGACGCAACACCCCAACACCCCUUGCACCGCUGACUCACUGGAAAUCAAGGCCAAGGGAGAUGUCAUGGCUAUGGGCUGAAGCUUUGAGAAAAAGAGAAUGAAAAAUGAAAUUUGCUUUGAUUGAAGGAUAGAGGGAAGUGAUUAUUGAUAAUUAUAGGGCUUGAAGAAUCCUCGAGAGAGUGACAAUGAUUGUUGAAUUAUUAUGAAAAUGCAACAUUGAAAAGGGUUGGAAGGGCUCCAAGUAUCAAGUCUACCCUAAUCUAUUGGCAUAUUUGAGGAGAUUGUUGAAGUUUGUUUAAUGAUCAACAUUGAAAAGGAAUUGGUGCAAGGGUUUGGAUCAAGAGGCUGCCGCAGUUGUUGUGGCAAGAUUAACUUCAUAAAAAAUGGAGAUGGAGGUUCAACCGGAGUCGACAACUUCAUGAGUUUUCUUUCAAAGAACAUUUUCAG